Leopardus geoffroyi (Geoffroy's cat) is the source of this 1261-nucleotide long non-coding RNA. RefSeq lists it as uncharacterized. The record is from RefSeq and is a predicted model, not a curated record. NCBI's taxonomy places the organism in Eukaryota, Metazoa, Chordata, Mammalia, Carnivora, Felidae. The transcript is spliced from 3 exons.
ACAAGUCCGAGAUGGCGGAGAGGGACAGUGGGGCCCCCGCUGGCUUCCCGUCCGCUGUGUUUUGAUCAAAGCCCUGGUUCUCGGUCCCUUCUGUGUGCAGCCAGAUGAAAGGCAUUGUUGGGCACCUGUUUGCAAAGAAGUGGUGUUUCCUCACAGGACGGCUCACCCACGCCUGGGACCGCUCAGUAGGGACGAGACUGACAAGUCCACCCACAAGUUCAGGGACCCAUUCUGCUCUCCCAGGUGACUCCUCGAAGCAACCACUCAGAGAUCCAGAAUCGUCCCAUCAUCUGGCUCCACCAUCUUGGAGAUGGCCAAGUGACAGUGUAGAAGAUUGCAUGUAGGAUAUUUGCUGGAAAUGGCUUCCCUCAUUCUGCCUUUAUGCCAUUGGCCAAAACCUAGUCACAUGGACCCACCAGAUGCAAGAAAGGCCAGGAAAUGUAAUCUUCUUAUGUGCCCAGGAGGAAAAUGGAAGUCUGAUGACCACAUAGCAUUGUUUCUGCUGCAAGUAUCAUUUCCUCAGUUGGCAGUCCUUACCUUUCAAUCACGUACUCUGCUUUCUUCAUGGUGGAUCGCAGCCAACCUAGGACCCAAACAAGACACGUGGGUGGGGUGGGCAGUGGGAGUGGGGUGUCAUUUGCCUUCCGCAGACCAGGGGCUGUUUUCACAGUGGGGCAUAUCCCAGCGUCUAAGAGUGCGUCUGGGCUAGCCCUUUCUCUUGGGGAAGGAAGGAGGGGCUGUAUUCUUCUGCCUGGGGGCUCACUCACUGUGUCCUUGGGGCUCUGACCACUCAAUCCUCCAGGGAAGGUGGAUGGAACAAAGAAAGGGGAGGAGGGAGGGUCAGCAAUUUCCCCCUUUCCCACUCGUCCCUCUGGGUCCGAAGCAUCUUCCCCACAAAGCUUCCCCCCACCCUGACCUCCCCCGCUGCAGCCACCCCUCCUGGUGCUCACCUGUGUUUACCCCAGCAGGGGGCUCUCCUGGGUUUCAUGGCAGCUGAAAUUUCUAUACAUUGGGGGAGAUCUUCUUUAAGAAAAAGAAUCCAAAUUAUGAAUGUAGAAUUAGGUAUAAAACCGCAUAUUUAAUAAGAAGGAUUGAAUAAAUUGCAAAAAUUACAAACUUUUACAAGCUGGCAAAUACUACACAUGUUUACAUUAAAUAACUCCCACCUUUAUAUUUGAUUCCUACAUGUUUUGACUAUAUAUUCUUUUUUAAAGGUUAUUUAUUUAUUUUGAGAGAAAGAGAGAGAGGACACAUGCAGGGG